RNAcentral lists this ribosomal RNA (1258 nucleotides) under Lactobacillus delbrueckii subsp. bulgaricus. Its description in RNAcentral is "partial 23S ribosomal RNA". It matches the Rfam family "Bacterial large subunit ribosomal RNA", at positions 1 to 1267 of the family's 2925-position model. Lineage: Bacteria; Bacillati; Bacillota; Bacilli; Lactobacillales; Lactobacillaceae. The record is from RNAcentral.
AGGUCAAGUGAAGAAGGGCGCACGGUGAAUGCCUUGGCACUGGAAGCCGAUGAAGGACGCGACUAACCGCGAAAGUCUUCGGGGAGCCGUAAGUAGGCUUUGAUCCGGAGGUCUCCGAAUGGGGGAACCCAGCAUGUGCAGACAUGCUAUCCUUAAGUGAAUACAUAGCUUAAGGAGGGAACACGCAGUGAACUGAAACAUCUAAGUAGCUGCAGGAAGAGAAAGAAAUAUCGAUUUCCCAAGUAGCGGCGAGCGAACAGGAAAGAGCCCAAACCGGCAGAUUUAUCUGCCGGGGUUGUAGGACUGAGACAUGGCACUUCAGAGGAUAGCAGAAGCGUUUGGGAAAGCGCGCCAGAGAGGGUGAGAGCCCCGUAAGCGAAAUCCAAAGAAGGCCUAUCAGUAUCCUGAGUAGGGCGGGACACGUGAAAUCCCGUUUGAAUCCGCGAGGACCAUCUCGCAAGGCUAAAUACUAACCAGUGACCGAUAGUGAACCAGUACCGUGAGGGAAAGGUGAAAAGAACCCCGGGAGGGGAGUGAAAGAGAACCUGAAACCGUGUGCCUACAAGUAGUCAGAGCCCGUUAACGGGUAAUGGCGUGCCUUUUGUAGAAUGAACCGGCGAGUUGCGUUAGUCAGCAAGGUUAAGUCAGAAAAGACGGAGCCGUAGCGAAAGCGAGUCUGAAGAGGGCGAGCAGUUGGCUGACGCAGACCCGAAACCAAGUGACCUACCCAUGACCAGGUUGAAGGCGCGGUAAAACGCGCUGGAGGACCGAACCCACGUAAGUUGAAAAUUGCGGGGAUGAGUUGUGGGUAGCGGUGAAAUUCCAAACGAACUUGGAGAUAGCUGGUUCUCUCCGAAAUAGCUUUAGGGCUAGCCUCGCAAAGAGGAUGCUGGAGGUAGAGCUCUGUUUGGACUAGGGGCCCGUCAAGGGUUACUGAAUUCAGAUAAACUGCGAAUUCCAGACAUUUAUGUGCGGGAGUCAGACUGCGAGUGAUAAGAUCCGUAGUCGAAAGGGAAACAGCCCAGAUCACCAGUUAAGGUCCCAAAAUUCAUGCUAAGUGGAAAAGGAUGUGGAGUUGCGCAGACAACUAGGACGUUGGCUCAGAAGCAGCCAUCAUUCAAAGAGUGCGUAAUAGCUCACUAGUCGAGUGACGCCGCGCCGAAAAUUUACCGGGGCUAAGCAUGAUACCGAAACUGUGGAUGUGCAUUUAUGCACGUGGUAGGAGAGCGUUCUAGCGGCGGUGAAGCAUGACCGAGAG